RNAcentral lists this long non-coding RNA (3890 nucleotides) under Malus domestica (apple). Its description in RNAcentral is "long non-coding RNA (MDOM_LNC016844)". Lineage: Eukaryota; Viridiplantae; Streptophyta; Magnoliopsida; Rosales; Rosaceae. The record is from RNAcentral.
UUUAUACCAUAUUUAGGGCCUCGUAUAUUUGGGCCUUGGGCCUUGUAUUUGGGCCUCACACUAAAGCCCAUACUUUGUAAAAGAGGAGGAGCCCCUUAUUCUAUAAAAGGGGACUCCUCCCCUCAUUCUAAGGGAGGGAGAGAGCCAGCUUAAGAAGGCUAAGAGAAGCUCUCAUUACAUUCAGGAGAGACCUCACACCACCGAGGCUCUCCUCUCCCUUCUCUUCUCUCUCUGGGGGACUUCCCCUCAAACUCUUGUAUCCAUACAAUUACAGAGAAACAGAAUCAACUACAGUGUGGACGUAGCCCAAACAUUGGGGUGAACCACGAUAAAAUCCUUGUGUUCUUUGUGUUCUUCGUGUUCUUGAGCGUUUGUGCAGAUUCACGGUCGGAUUUACGUUGUUCCAAGACCGCCCCGGUUUUGUGCAUCAACAUUUGGCGCCGUCUGUGGGAAUCGAUACAAAAAACUAUGUCGGUUCUCUUUCAUUUUUUCAUCUCACCACCACCGUGAGACCUCAUCACUGUCCACCAUGAAUCUGCAAAAUAUGCAAAACCCCAACCAAAACUCUCUCGAUCUCUUUCUCGCUUCUGAUCUCUUUCACAUCUUCAAACAAAACACCAUCACUCCUUUAUCUCUGGAAAACACAUAGAAACUAAACAAAAAACCCAUUUCAAAUCUCCAAACUCCAUAACCGACUUACUACUCCCAUACGUCCAUCAUACAUUUACGCAACUACCCUCAUCUGGAAAGACUGGCUGAAGCUCAAGGCAAUGGUCCCGCCUAUUGUACUUGAGUUGCUGGGCCUGCUGGCGGUGAAUCUGGUAGGCGUUGGCGAGCACCUCCAACGGCAGUGCACGUAGUAUGGAAGUUUAGGCAGUAAGAGUGAUGAUCAUGGCGUUGUCGGUGAUCUUGUGGGCGAUGUACUCGAAACCCUCGGGCAUGCGUGAUCACUCCGUGGUUCUGAGGCACGAUGAACAGUACACCGUCGACGAUGACACAGAGGACCAGAUCGAGUGCACGGGGAGGCACGGCAAGUCGUGCAGCGGAGUGAUGCUCUGCUGCUGCUCCUGCACGCUAGUAAGCUCCGCCUGUGGAGCUCCCCCGUCUCUGCGCAUGCAAUCAAGAGGAAGAAGUACAGGGUGAUAGGGAAGGUGAAGGAACACCACAAAAAGAAGGCCAAGGACGCCAAGAAGCUCAGCUUUAAAAACAAGAAGGUUGAGAAAAGACCCGAGUAUUCUUAAUGACUGGCCCAUCAAGGAGCAGGAGCUUAAGGCUCUCGAAGCCUCCAACCCGACCCGGUUUCAAAUUAAGAGCACCGAGCCUCAUCGUCCCAUCGCCGCCGUACAUCUCCACCGACGAAUCUCGUGCCAGACCUCCUCCGUCAUUGCUUCGCCUUCGUCCGUCGGCAACGUAACAGAAAAAUCAGAACUGAAGGAUUUCUUGCACAUAAGUGAUUUUGACAAAGCCACCAUUUUGAAGAUGUUAGAUCGAGCUGCAGAGGUCAAGGCACAUCUCAAAUCAGGAGACAGGUCAUUUCAACCAUUUAAGGGGAAGACAAUGGCUAUGAUCUUUGCAAAGCCUUCCAUGAGAACACGUGUUUCAUUCGAGACUGGGUUUUUCUUGUUAGGUGGUCAUGCCAUAUACUUGGGUCCAAAUGAUAUCCAAAUGGGUAAGCAGGAGGAAACGCGAGAUGUCACACGUGGUUAAACAAAGAACCUGAUCGGCUCAUCCCUUCCCAGCAGUGCCAACACAGCAUCACCAUCAUGGCCAACCUGCAGAUUCAAAGGUGCACAUGCAUGACAGCUAUAAGAGACAGAAAGAGAGGAAAGUCAAAAGCAGAAAGUCAAAAGCAGAAAGCAAAAGCUUUUGCAAAGGAAAAGAGAAGAUAAGAGUAUUUUCUUAUUAUCAAAUAUAUUCCUUGUCUGCCAUAUUGAUCAGGGUUAAGAAACAGAAACCAAAGCAAAAGGAAUAACAAGAAAGUGGAACGGGUUUGGUGGGAAAUAUCCCACACCCCAUUGUCGGCCAAGGAAAGAAAAAGAAAAGAAAAAAAGAAAGAAAAGAAAAAAGAAGAAAGAAAGAAAGAAAAGAAAAAGCAAUGUCAGGAGAAAGCAAAAUAAAAAAUAAGAUGGAGUGGGAGGCCACGUUCUUUAUUUACAUUUUUUACAGCUGGAGUACACCAGUUUGUGUUCAAACAGCAGAAACCAGGCCGAAAGAGAAAGGCAGUGGCGGACAAAGCAAAAGGAAAAGAGAAAGAAAAGGGAAAGUAAAGCAAAAGCAAGUCAGUGUGUCUAGAAGUGGAGAGAUCAAAGAGGGAACAGAAAAGAAAAAAGAUCAUGUCGUUGGGAGAAUAUUUCAGAAAGCAGAAAAGAGGAAAGCAAAAAGGAUGCACAUGGAGACACUGCCAAAACAAGGAAUAAAUACCUCACCCGAAUGAUGUAAUUUAUUUUUAUUAUCUUUCGGAGACAUCUGUAUAAACCCCAUCAGAGGGUAAUAUAUAUAAACCCCAUCAGAGGGUCAAAAAAAAAAAAAAAAAAAAAAAAAAGGAAAAGCCCAAAACAAAUGGGCUGACAUGUUGUGGAGGGCAAAGGCCCAUAGGCCUGAAAUAGCACCAACCAGAUGAUCAAAAGUACGCCUAGUACUCCAAAUUAUACAUGAACAUUACUCAUGUCAUUCAUACAUACACAUUCAUGAGCAUCACUCAUGACAAUCAUACAUAAACAUUCAUGACCAUCAUUCAUGUCAACAUCCAUGAGCAUCACUCAUGUCAAUCAACAUAAACAUCCAUGAGCAUCAUUCAUGUCAAAUCAGCUUCAAAGACUUCAUUUACAGAGCUCUAGCUUCAAAAGCUUCAUUGACAAGAGCUCUAGCUUCAAAGACUUCAUUUACAGAGCUCUAGCUUCAAAAGCUUCAUUUACAAAAGCUCUAGCUUUAAAAGCUUCAUUUACAGAGCUCUAGCUACAAAGCUUCACUUGCAAAGCUUCACCUACAAAGCUUCACAUACAAAGCUUCAGUGCAAGGUAUACAAAUACUGCCUCCGAACAACCGCCACUUCGGCCCAUACAUGGAUUCACUUUAAAGUCUCCAGCCAACCGACUCUAUUGACCGAAGACUUGGGGGACUACAUUAUGUACCAUAUAUUGGGCCUCAAUUGGGCCUCAUGAAAAAUAUUUGGGGGACUUAGCCCAUUAUUUAUGUAUUAAGGAACGAGCCCUUAUUCUAUAAAAGGGACUCCCUCACCUUCAAACGCCACAAGCCAAGCCAACCAAGGCAACAUAAGCUACAAGCAAAGCGGCCUCACAACAUGUGCUGCUUCUAGUUGAGCAUCAUUUCAGAUUGGGCACCGCCUCAUAUCGAGCAUCAGUUCUAGACGACAUUUAGUUACUUCGGCCCACACAUGGACUGAAUUUCAAGUCUCCAGCCAAAAGACUCUCUUGACUGAAGACUUGGGGGACUACUGUUUAUACCAUAUUUAGGGCCUCGUAUAUUUGGGCCUUGGGCCUUGUAUUUGGGCCUCACACUAAAGCCCAUACUUUGUAAAAGAGGAGGAGCCCCUUAUUCUAUAAAAGGGGACUCCUCCCCUCAUUCUAAGGGAGGGAGAGAGCCAGCUUAAGAAGGCUAAGAGAAGCUCUCAUUACAUUCAGGAGAGACCUCACACCACCGAGGCUCUCCUCUCCCUUCUCUUCUCUCUCUGGGGGACUUCCCCUCAAACUCUUGUAUCCAUACAAUUACAGAGAAACAGAAUCAACUACAGUGUGGACGUAGCCCAAACAUUGGGGUGAACCACGAUAAAAUCCUUGUGUUCUUUGUGUUCUUCGUGUUCUUGAGCGUUUGUGCAGAUUCACGGUCGGAUUUACGUUGUUCCAAGACCGCCCCGGUUUUGUGCAUCAACA